This 830-nucleotide unclassified non-coding RNA is filed under the name Ooceraea biroi (clonal raider ant). RNAcentral's name for it is "60S ribosomal protein L3, transcript variant X1". The record is from RNAcentral. Lineage: Eukaryota; Metazoa; Arthropoda; Insecta; Hymenoptera; Formicidae.
UUUUUGUUCUUAAAGUUUUCAUCGAGUCUCAUCCAAGUAUAAAAGUAGUGUUCGUCUCUCUCAUCCUCCAUUUUCUUCAUCGCAUUCACCAGUGGUAUCAUGUCUCAUAGGAAAUUCAGUGCUCCUCGGCAUGGUUCGAUGGGGUUCUACCCAAAGAAAAGAUCUCAAAGGCAUCGUGGAAAGGUAAAGGCUUUUCCAAAAGAUGAUCCCAGCAAACCUGUGCAUUUAACAGCUUUUAUUGGUUACAAAGCUGGUAUGACUCAUGUUGUGAGGGAAGCAGAUCGUCCUGGAUCAAAGGUAAAUAAGAAGGAGAUUGUAGAAGCAGUUACUAUCCUUGAGACACCACCAAUAAUUGUGGUUGGUCUUGUUGGAUAUAUUGAAACGCCACAUGGACUUAGAGCACUUGCUACUGUUUGGGCAGAACAUUUGUCAGAGGAUUGUCGCAGACGGUUUUACAAGAACUGGUACAAGAGCAAGAAGAAGGCAUUUACAAAAGCAUCGAAGAAAUGGCAAGACGAGCUUGGCCGCAAAUCUAUUGAGGCAGAUUUAAAAAAAAUCAAGAAGUAUUGCAGUGUCAUUCGCAUUAUCGCUCAUACUCAGUGCGAGAGCUGCCUUUAAUGCAGUAUGGUCUCAACACUGCCGUGUCGAAGAAUAACAUUGUGCGCUGCUCAUGCAGAAUGCAUAAAAGCAAGAUGAAGUUAUUGAGGCAGCGUCAGAAGAAAGCUCACAUUAUGGAGAUCCAAUUGAAUGGAGGUACUGUUGAAGACAAAGUGCAGUGGGCACGCGAACAUCUGGAGAAACCCGUGCCUAUUAGUAAUGUGUUCGCAGCU